CCUUUGCUUCCGGUCUCCGCUCCUUACUUCCGGACGGCCGCUCUUUCCUUUCUUCCGCUUCUCUAUGGUGUAUGCGCUUAGAUUGCCUGGCGGCCGGAAGUAGCUCGCAGUCCAGCCGGGGACCGGUCGGCGAAGCAGUGUGAACAACCAUGUCAUCAGAAUCCAGCAAAAAACGGAAGCCUAAAGUGAUCCGAAGUGAUGGAGCUCCAGCUGAAGGAAAGCGGAAUCGAUCUGACACAGAGCAGGAAGGUAAAUACUAUAGCGAGGAGGCUGAGGUGGACCUGCGGGACCCUGGCAGAGACUAUGAGCUGUAUAAGUACACGUGCCAGGAGCUACAGAGGCUGAUGGCUGAGAUCCAGGAUCUGAAGAGCCGGGGCGGCAAGGAUAUGGCAAUUGAAAUUGAAGAACGAAGGAUCCAAAGCUGUGUACAUUUCAUGACUCUAAAGAAGCUUAACCGAUUAGCCCACAUAAGGUUGAAGAAAGGAAGGGAUCAGACCCAUGAGGCUAAGCAGAAAGUAGACGCCUAUCACCUGCAACUACAGAACCUGCUGUAUGAGGUGAUGCACCUACAGAAGGAGAUCACUAAAUGUCUGGAAUUUAAGUCAAAGCAUGAAGAAAUAGAUCUGGUUAGUUUAGAGGAAUUUUAUAAGGAGGCUCCACCAGACAUCAGCAAAGCUGAAGUCACCAUGGGAGACCCUCAUCAGCAGACCUUAGCACGACUGGACUGGGAAUUGGAGCAACGGAAAAGGCUGGCGGAGAAGUACCGAGAGUGCCUGUCCAACAAGGAGAAAAUCCUUAAGGAGAUUGAGGUGAAGAAGGAAUACCUGAGCAGCCUCCAGCCUCGCCUCAACAGCAUCAUGCAGGCUUCCCUUCCGGUGCAGGAGUACUUGUUCAUGCCAUUUGACCAGGCUCACAAGCAAUACGAGACAGCUAGGCACCUGCCGCCUCCCCUCUACGUGCUCUUUGUCCAGGCUACUGCAUAUGGGCAGGCCUGUGCUCAUAUGAAAUCCUCCUCCCAGCCCCCUAGACAGGAUAAGACAUUGUCUGUGGCUAUCGAAGGCAGUGUGGACGAAGCCAAGGCUCUAUUCAAGCCUCCUGAGGACUCCCAAGAUGACGAGAGUGACUCGGAUGCUGAGGAGGAGCAGACCACGAAACGGCGGCGACCCACACUGGGGGUUCAAUUGGAUGACAAGCGCAAGGAAAUGCUAAAGAGACACCCACUGUCCGUCCUACUUGACCUCAAGUGCAAAGAUGACAGCGUGCUUCACCUGACUUUCUACUACCUCAUGAACCUCAACAUCAUGACAGUGAAAGCCAAAGUAACAACUGCCACAGAGCUGAUCACCCCCAUCAGUGCAGGGGACUUGCUAUCUCCUGACUCUGUCCUGAGCUGUUUGUAUCCUGGAGAUCAUGGAAAGAAAACUCCGAAUCCAGCCAAUCAGUAUCAGUUUGAUAAAGUUGGCAUCCUGACUUUGAGAGACUAUGUACUUGAUUUGGGUCACCCCUAUUUGUGGGUACAGAAGCUGGGUGGCCUCCACUUCCCCAAAGAGCAGCCCCAGCACACAGUGAUCGCUGACCACUCACUGAGUGCCAGCCACAUGGAAACCACGAUGAAACUGCUGAAGACCAGGGUACAGUCCCGUUUGGCCCUCCACAAACAGUUUGCAUCCCUGGAACAUGGCAUUGUGCCAGUUACCAGCGAUUGCCAGUAUCUCUUCCCUGCCAAGGUUGUGUCUCGCCUGGUGAAGUGGGUGACAAUUGCUCAUGAGGAUUACAUGGAUCUGCAUUUUACCAAAGACAUUGUAGAGGCAGGACUGGCUGGGGACACCAAUCUCUACUAUAUGGCGCUUGUUGAAAGGGGCACAGCCAAACUCCAGGCUGCUGUGGUGUUGAACCCUGGCUACUCUUCCAUCCCACCCAUUUUCCAGCUCUGUCUGAACUGGAAAGGGGAGAAAACCAACAGCAAUGAUGACAACAUCCGGGCCAUGGAGAGCGAGGUCAAUGUGUGCUACAAGGAGCUGUGCGGUCCCCGGCCCAGCCACCAGCUCUUAACCAACCAACUGCAGCGGCUGUGCGUGCUAUUGGAUGUCUACCUGGAGACAGAGAGUCACGAUGACAGUGUGGAGGGGCCCAAGGAAUUUCCUCAGGAGAAGAUGUGUUUGCGGCUUUUCAGGGGUCCAAGCAGGAUGAAGCCAUUUAAAUAUAACCAUCCUCAAGGAUUCUUCAGCCAUCGCUGACCUGCUACUCUGCCUGUUGCUGCCCAGAGUAUUAGGCCUCUGCUUUCUGCUUUGGCCACAUGUGGCUCUUGAUAGUUUCUGGAGAUACAAGGUCUCAGCUGUUAGGUGGAGAAGCCAAAGUCAGAGCCAACGAGCACAAGCUCCUGUUCCUCCUGCUCCAGCUCUUCACUACUACUUUCAUUAUCCAUGAUGACUGGAUUCUCUCUGAUGGGUACUUUAAAUAUUUGACAGUGCAGGGGCUGGGAUUAUGGCUCAGUGGUAGAGCACUCGCCUAGACAGCCGGGACCUGGGUUCAAUCCUCAGCACCACAUAAAAAUAAAGGCAUUGUGUUGUGUCCAUCUACACCUAAAAAAUAAAUAAUGAAAAAAAAAUAAAUAUUUGACAGUGCAGUAUAAAUAGAAGACAAAUACAUCAUACAACAUAAUUCUAAAUCUUGCAAGAUUUCCUGAAGUCAGUGAGAGUGAUGUUAGAGAAUCAUGUGCAGAGUUGCUGGCCAGUGAGACAAUGGCAAAAUGAGUCCAGAUGACAUUUGUGGAGAAUCUUCUUGUAAAUAACAUGAUAAAUGUCCCCCUAGAUAAUGAUUUGAUUCUUGGGAUUAGGAGAAGUCCUCGGAAAAUGUUUCUAAGCUUACCUCCUUCGUGAUCCUCCAUCAGAAGACAAAGUGAAGGAUGACACAGAGUAUUCUUGGAGAGUUUUGUCAGAAAAAUUAUAUCUGCCCUCCACCCACCCCCAAAAAAAAUCAAUACAGGAAAGGCCUAUUAGGGCCCUUUGUUUUAUAUAUGGAAACUGGAGCCCAGCCAGAGAGGAAAACAGUACCUUAAGUAGCCACCAAAUGACCACCACUACCUGAGCCUCUCCUUCACCUUGGCCUGUCAUAAUUCCUUUGAGUACCCAACACAGGUGCUUUCCUGCCCAAAGGCCCUCAAACUGCACCUGCAUCACCUAUCCUGGGAAAUGAACCGAAGUGCACAUUCCAAGCUCCACUCCCACUAUUCUGACUCAGUUGACCUGAGAUGGGCCAAGGAAGGAUAUUUUUAACAAGCUCCCCAGGUGCAGUGUGCCCUAGUCUUUUUUUGGAAGGCGCUGUACUUUCCUCCCUUAUUUUUCCCUUAUUCAAUUCUCUGAGCAGCUCCCCUCUUCUGUCUUUUGCACCUGGUCUCCUGUCUUAGGAGCUCAGUGAUAGGCCUCUCCCUCAGAAAAUCUUAAUCCUGGGAUGCUCAGUGAUCAGUUUAGCAGGCAGGAGAAACAGUCAAUAAAUCCACUUUUACCGAAUGUGUUUAUAAUGGAGACCAAAGUUUGUUUAUUGUUGUAAAAGGAAUUUUUUUUUGAAUGUUUUAGUUAUAGAUGGACACAAUACCUUUAUUUUUAUGUAGUGCUGAGGAUCAAAUCCAGUGUCCCACACGUGUGAGGCGAGCAUCCUAUCACUGAGCUACAGCCCCAGCCCCGAAAGGAGAAGGUUUUACUGGGAAUAUCCCAA
Ictidomys tridecemlineatus (thirteen-lined ground squirrel) is the source of this 3714-nucleotide non-coding RNA. The record is from RefSeq and is a predicted model, not a curated record. Lineage: Eukaryota; Metazoa; Chordata; Mammalia; Rodentia; Sciuridae.